GGUUUAAUUCGAAGCAACGCGAAGAACCUUACCAAGUCUUGACAUCCUCUUGACCGGUCAGUAAUGUGACCUUUCCUUCGGGACAAGAGAGACAGGUGGUGCAUGGUUGUCGUCAGCUCGUGUCGUGAGAUGUUGGGUUAAGUCCCGCAACGAGCGCAACCCCUAUCCUUAGUAGCCAGCAGUAAGAUGGGCACUCUAGGGAGACUGCCAGGGAUAACCUGGA
Molecule: ribosomal RNA, 223 nt
Filed under: uncultured bacterium
Lineage: Bacteria
Description: partial 16S ribosomal RNA
Rfam family: Bacterial small subunit ribosomal RNA
Source: RNAcentral